UUAUUUAUUUAUUUAUUUUGUAUUAUAGCAGUAUUGCUCUUUAUGUCGCAUUUCAUUGCCAAGAAAAAGAAAAAAAGGAAAAGCUGAAAGUAUUUCUUUAUCUAUUAUCAUUGCAUGAAUGAUAACAGUAUAGUUAAGCAAAAUAUGUGCAAUAUAGUUAAGCCAACAAAAUCACCAAAUGGGAACCUUGUGGCAGGACACCUUAUUUGUAACUUGUAGAUGUAAAUGCAAAUCCUCAUACGUUGGCACUUCUUUCAAAUGUUGUUGUCAUUGUAAAGCUUCUCUUCUUCUUUUAAUAUGUACAUAAUAACAACAGGGAUUGGAGGACGGGGCAUGUGGUUUCAGAAAGUUCCUCUAAAGUUAUUAAUUUGAUUCAUUGAUUGAUGACUACUACAAAUGAAAUUACAGUAUUAAUGAUUCAUAUGUCUUUACUUUGUAGUUAUCUUCAACGACGUGCAGCAAAGGAUAGGUCAUUUACUUAUGAGGUAUGAUUUUAUUCUUCUAAUUUCCUGGAUAACCUGAGUUAGUUUCCACUGUAAAUGAUGAAUGGUUGCGAUGUAAGUGCAACAUAAGAUUAUAGUUAAUUGGCUAACAAGAAUUUAAAUUAAGAUUGUUUGUCUUUCUACCUUUUCAUUUCAAUUGUGUAUGGUAAAAAAACAUACUUCACCUAAGAACUGAUGAAUGUAGGUUUCAAUUCCAAGUUUUCCCAUAGUGAUGCCAAUAAAAUUUUCUGCUUCAUCGGGAAAGCUAAUUUAUUUUGCGCAUCCAUUAUGUGAAACUUUCCUAGAAUAGGUUUUUGAUGUUAUUGUUUGAGGCUUCGAGCUCUAGCAUUAGUCAAUAUUCCAUGUAGUAAAGUUCUGGCUGUGUUUAAACAUGCGUCCUUGUAUUCUCCUAUACAAACUUUUGUUGAACUCUUUCAUCAUGCAAGAUUUUGGUAAAUAAGAGAAAGCUUACUGUGGUGACCGAUUAACGUUGGUGCCUAUCACUAACUUUUAUUUAUAUAGAAGCUCGUUUAACAUUGAGUUUUAGGGUAAAAAAAGCAUUUUUUUU
Molecule: unclassified non-coding RNA, 1050 nt
Filed under: Hevea brasiliensis (rubber tree)
Lineage: Eukaryota; Viridiplantae; Streptophyta; Magnoliopsida; Malpighiales; Euphorbiaceae
Source: RNAcentral